GCCGCCUAGAAUUGACUGGUUUGGACUAA
RNAcentral lists this non-coding RNA (29 nucleotides) under Homo sapiens (human). The record is from RNAcentral. Lineage: Eukaryota; Metazoa; Chordata; Mammalia; Primates; Hominidae.